RNAcentral lists this transfer RNA (105 nucleotides) under Promethearchaeota archaeon. Its description in RNAcentral is "Candidatus Lokiarchaeota archaeon (microbial mat metagenome) tRNA-Asp". Lineage: Archaea; Promethearchaeati; Promethearchaeota. The record is from RNAcentral.
GCCCCUGUAGUGUAGUGGUUAAUCAUCUGGGACUGUCACUCCCAGAACCCGGGUUCAAAUUUCAUCUAGGUAUCUGGAUGAGUGAAAAUCCCGGCGGGGGCGCCA